AACGCACCUUGCGCUCCUUGGUAUUCCGAGGAGCAUGCCUGUUUGAGUGUCAUUAAAUUCUCAACCCUUUCAGCUUUUGUGAGCUGCAAUAGGGCUUGGAUAUUGGGAGUUUGCGGGCCUAUAGAAGGUCGGCUCUCCUGAAAUGCAUUAGCGGAACCGUUUGCAGUCCCGUCACUGGUGUGAUAAUUAUCUACACUGUGAUGACUGCUCUCUAGUUUGUUCAGCUGCUAAUCGUCCAUUACUGGACAACUCUUAAUGAACCUCUUGACCUCAAAUCAGGUAGGACUACCCGCUGAACUUAA
This 302-nucleotide unclassified non-coding RNA is filed under the name uncultured Agaricales. Its description in RNAcentral is "sequence contains 5.8S rRNA gene, ITS2, 28S rRNA gene". The stretch from base 1 to 52 matches the Rfam family "5.8S ribosomal RNA", at positions 103 to 154 of the family's 154-position model. Lineage: Eukaryota; Fungi; Basidiomycota; Agaricomycetes; Agaricales. The record is from RNAcentral.